RNAcentral lists this long non-coding RNA (228 nucleotides) under Lathyrus oleraceus (garden pea). Its description in RNAcentral is "Pisum sativum (pea) long non-coding RNA (PSAT_LNC004730)". The record is from RNAcentral. Lineage: Eukaryota; Viridiplantae; Streptophyta; Magnoliopsida; Fabales; Fabaceae.
CCAUCAUGAGGUUUUAACAAAUGAGUUCCCUUGUAUGCAUUAUGGCCAAAAGACCAUUUUUGCAUCAUUAAGGCUUAGCGAGGUUAAAGAGGACAAAAAUAAAAUGAGAGAAAAAUAUAAGCAUGAAAAAAGAGAAAAAGAAAACGCAAAAGAAAAAGAAAAUGAGAGAGAAAAAGAAAAUAAAUAUUUGUAAAAAAAGAAAUAGUGGUGAGAGGGAAAAUAAAGAGA